RNAcentral lists this ribosomal RNA (766 nucleotides) under uncultured bacterium. RNAcentral's name for it is "bacterial SSU rRNA". It matches the Rfam family "Bacterial small subunit ribosomal RNA", at positions 103 to 904 of the family's 1533-position model. The record is from RNAcentral.
CGGGUGCGUAACGCGUGGGAAUUUACCCCUAGCUGCGGAAUAACUCAGAGAAAUUUGAGCUAAUACCGCAUAAUGUCGCAAGACCAAAGAUUUAUCGGCAAGGGAUGAGCCCGCGUAGGAUUAGCUUGUUGGUGAGGUAAAAGCUCACCAAGGCGACGAUCUUUAGCUGGUCUGAGAGGAUGAUCAGCCACACUGGGACUGAGACACGGCCCAGACUCCUACGGGAGGCAGCAGUGGGGAAUAUUGGACAAUGGGCGCAAGCCUGAUCCAGCAAUGCCGCGUGAGUGAUGAAGGCCUUAGGGUUGUAAAGCUCUUUUACUAGGGAUGAUAAUGACAGUACCUAGAGAAUAAGCUCCGGCUAACUCCGUGCCAGCAGCCGCGGUAAUACGGAGGGAGCUAGCGUUGUUCGGAAUUACUGGGCGUAAAGCGCGCGUAGGCGGCUCGUCAAGUCAGGGGUGAAAGUCCGGGGCUCAACCCCGGAACUGCCUUUGAAACUAGCGAGCUAGAAUCUUGUAGAGGUUAGCGGAAUUCCGAGUGUAGAGGUGAAAUUCGUAGAUAUUCGGAAGAACACCAGUGGCGAAGGCGGCUGGCUGGGCAAGAAUUGACGCUGAGGUGCGAAAGCGUGGGUAGCAAACAGGAUUAGAUACCCUGGUAGUCCACGCCGUAAACGAUGAUAACUAGCUAUUUGGUCUUUUGAAGACUGGGUGGCGCAGCUAACGCAUUAAGUUAUCCGCCUGGGGAGUACGGUCGCAAGAUUAAAACUCAA